AGCACUUUGGGAGGCCGAGGUGUGUGGAUCACCUGAGGUCAGGAGUUCGAGACCAGCCUGGCCAACAUGGUGAAACCCUGUCUCCACUAAAAAUACAAAAAUGAGCCAGGCAUAGUGGCAGGUGCCUGUAAUCCCAGCUACUCGGGACGCUGAGGCAGGAGAAUCAUUUGAACCUGGGAGAUGGAGGUUGCAGUGAGCUGUGAUGGCACCACUGUGCUCUAGCCCGGGCAACAGAGCAAGACUGUCUCAAAAAAAAAAAAAAAAAAAAAAAAAAGGUAUAUUAGUCAGGGUUCUCCAGAGAAACAGAACCAACAGGAUAUUAUAAGAGAGAUUUAUUAUAGGAAUUGAUCGUUUCUCGGCCUUGUGGCUAAGAUCAAGUGUAGAUUUAUUAUGGGAAUUGGCUCAUGCAGUUAUGGAGGCCAAGAAGUCCCAGGAUCUGCCAUCUGCAAGCUGAAAAACCAGGAAAGCUGGUGGUAUAAUUCAGUCUGAAUCUGAAGACUGAGGACCAGAGGCACAAUGAUGUAAGUCCCAGUCUAAGCCCAAAAGCAAGAGCUAGGAGCACUGACCUCCAAGGGCAAGAGAAAAUGGAUGUCAGCCCAGAAAGAGCAGAUUCGCCCCUCUUCCACCUUUUGUCCACUCAACAGUGGAUGAUACCCACUGACAGGGAGGAUCUUUUUCUAAUUUUUUUUUUUUUUUCUGAGACAGAGUCUCACUCUCUCGCCCAGGCUGGAGUGCAGUGGUGCAAUCUCCGCUCACUGCAAGCUCUGCCUCCCGGGUUCACGCCGUUCUUCUGCCUCAGCCCCCUGAGUAGCUGGGACUACAGGCACCCGCCACCAUGCCCAGCUAAUUUUUUGUAUUUUUAGUAGAGAUGGGGUUUCACCGUGUUAGCCAGGAUGGUCUCGAUCUCCUGACCUCGCGAUCCACCUGGGAGGAUCUUUUUCACUCAAUCUACCAACUCACAAUGCUAAUUUGUUCUGGAAACAUCAUCACAGGACUACCCAGGAACACUGUUUUGCCAGCUAUCUGGACAUCCCUUAGCUCAGUCAAACUGACACAUAAAAUUAACCAUCACACGACCAUCCUUUUUGAACUUGUCAUCCAUACACAUCUCCUUAAACCAUACUUAAUCUCCACAUGAAGACACAAGGUUUUUUUGGGUUUUUUGGAAACCAGAUCUUGCUCUGUUGCCCAGGCUGGAGUGCUGCAGCCUCAAUCUCCUGGGCUCAGGCGAUCUUCCUGCCUCAGCCUCCUGAGUAGCUGGGACUACAGGUGCAUACCACCACACCCAGGCUGGAGUGCAGUGGCACGAUCUCGGCUCACUGCAACCUCCACCUCCUGAGUUCAAGUGAUUCUCAUGCCUCAGCCUCCUGAGCAGCUGGGACUACAGGCACACACCACCAUUCCUAGCUAAUUUUUGUAUUUUUUAGUAGAGAUGGGGUUUCACCAUGUUGGCCAGGCUGGUCUCGAACUCCUGACCUCAAGUGAUCCACUUGCCUUAGCCUUGUAAAGUGCUAGGAUUACAGGCGUGAGCCCCGUGCCCGGCCAACAUUUUUUUUAAGAGACUCUUUUUUACUCACUCUACCGACUCACAGCACUAAUUUCUUCUGGAAACACCAUCACAGGCCUACCCAGGAACACUGUUUUGCCGGCUAUCUGGACAUCUCCUUAUGUUGCCCAGGCUGGUCUUGAACACCUGGCCUCAAGUGACCCUCCCACCUCAGCCUCCCAAAGCGUUGGGAUUACAGGCAUGAGCCACUGCACCCUGCCAAGACACAAGGUUUUCAUUCCACUGAACGUGUUACAACCAUCUGGUGUACAACUGGAUUUCUGUCUUAGUCCCUUGGGGCUGCUAUAAUAAAAUAUCAUAAACUGUUUAUCUUAUUUACAAGAGAAAUUUAUUUCUCCCACUUCUGGAAGCUGGGAAAUCCAAGAUCAAGGUGCCGACAGAUUCAGUGUCUGGUGAGGGCCCACUUUCUGGUUCAUAGACAGCAUCUUUUUGCUGUAAUCUCACAUGCUGGAAGGAGCAAGGGACCUCUCUUGGGUCUCUUUUAUUAAAGGACACUAAUCCCAUUCAUGAGGGUACUGCCUUGGGGAAUGCACCACUCUUUCAACUUCAAUCAAGUAUCUCCUGAGUUUGAGUGCUUGUUUUCGAAAGCGUGGUAGAAGUUUAUUUUUCUCCUUGGUCCUCUAGUAGCCAGGUUACAGCUAGGUCAUCUUGACUGUACCAUCUGCAGAGAGGAAGACUCACCUUCGUUAGGAUAGAAGCACCAGUGUCUAACUAGACAAGGACUAUGGACUUAGAAUGACAUCGAAUUUCCAGACCAAAACAUUUACCAGAGCAUUAUGGUGUUCAAGGCAUUGUGGGGACCCUGAGGGGGUGUAUGGAGGACUAUGAAGCAAUCCCAGCCCCCACAGGAAGCUUGCAAUUAUUUUGGAUGAUAGCCAUCCAUACAAGAUUGUGUCUGGGAGUGGUGGCUUACGCCUGUAAUCCCAGCACUUUGGAAGGCCAAGGUGGGCGGAUCACCUGAGGUCAGGAGUUCAAGACCAGCCUGGCCAACAUGGUGAAACCCCAUCUCUACUAAAAAUACAAAAU
Molecule: long non-coding RNA, 2593 nt
Filed under: Homo sapiens (human)
Lineage: Eukaryota; Metazoa; Chordata; Mammalia; Primates; Hominidae
Description: HSALNT0406142
Source: RNAcentral